GAUGAACGCUGGCGGCGUGCCUAAUACAUGCAAGUCGAACGAAACUUCUUUAUCACCGAGUGCUUGCACUCACCGAUAAAGAGUUGAGUGGCGAACGGGUGAGUAACACGUGGGCAACCUGCCCAAAAGAGGGGGAUAACACUUGGAAACAGGUGCUAAUACCGCAUAACCAUAGUUACCGCAUGGUAACUAUGUAAAAGGUGGCUAUACUACCGCUUUUGGAUGGGCCCGCGGCGCAUUAGCUAGUUGGUAGGGUAAAGGCUUACCAAGGCAAUGAUGCGUAGCCGAAUUGAGAGGUUGAUCGGCCACAUUGGGACUGAGACACGGCCCAAACUCCUACGGGAGGCAGCAGUAGGGAAUCCUCCACAAUGGGCGAAAGCCUGAUGGAGCAACGCCGCGUGGGUGAAGAAGGUCUUCGGAUCGUAAAACCCUGUUGUUAGAGAAGAAAGUGCGUGAGAGUAACUGUUCACGUUUCGACGGUAUCUAACCGGAAAGCCACGGCUAACUACGUG
This 512-nucleotide ribosomal RNA is filed under the name uncultured bacterium. Its description in RNAcentral is "partial 16S ribosomal RNA". It matches the Rfam family "Bacterial small subunit ribosomal RNA", at positions 28 to 507 of the family's 1533-position model. The record is from RNAcentral.